Molecule: ribosomal RNA, 466 nt
Filed under: uncultured bacterium
Lineage: Bacteria
Description: partial 16S ribosomal RNA
Rfam family: Bacterial small subunit ribosomal RNA
Source: RNAcentral
GACGAACGCUGGCGGCGCGCUUAACACAUGCAAGUCGAACGGAAAGGCCCUGCUUUUGUGGGGUGCUCGAGUGGCGAACGGGUGAGUAACACGUGAGUAACCUGCCCUUGACUUUGGGAUAACUUCAGGAAACUGGGGCUAAUACCGGAUAGGAGCUCCUGCUGCAUGGUGGGGGUUGGAAAGUUUCGGCGGUUGGGGAUGGACUCGCGGCUUAUCAGCUUGUUGGUGGGGUAGUGGCUUACCAAGGCUUUGACGGGUAGCCGGCCUGAGAGGGUGACCGGCCACAUGGGGACUGAGAUACGGCCCAGACUCCUACGGGAGGCAGCAGGGGGGAAUAUUGCACAAGGGGCGGAAGCCGGAUGCAGCACCGCGGCGUGCGGGAUGACGGCCUUCGGGUUGUAAACCGCUUUCGCCUGUGACGAAGCGUGAGGGACGGUAAGGGGUAAAGAAGAACCGGCUAACGACG